This 523-nucleotide ribosomal RNA is filed under the name uncultured archaeon. RNAcentral's name for it is "bacterial SSU rRNA". It matches the Rfam family "Archaeal small subunit ribosomal RNA", at positions 345 to 869 of the family's 1478-position model. The record is from RNAcentral.
AACCUUUACAAUGCACGCAAGUGUGAUAAGGGGAUCCUAAGUGCUUAUACAUUGUAUAGGCUUUUGUUAAGAGUAAAUAUCUUAGCGAAUAAGUGGUGGGUAAGACUGGUGCCAGCCGCCGCGGUAACACCAGCGCCACGAGUGGCAACCACGUUUAUUGGGCCUAAAGCGUCCGUAGCCGGUUUAGUAAAUCUCUUGUGAAAUCGACAAGCUCAACUUGUCGGCGUGCUUGAGACACUACUAAACUCGAGACCGGGAGGAGUCAGAGGUAUUCCAGGGGGAGCGGUAAAAUGUGAUAAUCCUUGGAGGACCAUCUAUGGCGAAGGCAUCUGACCAGAACGGAUCUGACGGUGAGGGACGAAGGCUAGGGGAGCGAUCCGGAUUAGAUACCCGAGUAGUCCUAGCAGUAAACGCUGUGAGCAAGAUGUUACGCAUCUCUUGAGGAUGCGUAGUGUCGAAAUGAAGAUGUUAAGCUCACCGCCUGGGAAGUACGGUCGCAAGACUGAAACUUUAAGGAAUUGGC